GUAGUCUCGCACAGAUGCAUAUCAAUAAGCGGAGGAAAAGAAACUAACAAGGAUUCCCUUAGUAACGGCGAGUGAACGGGGAGGAGCCCAGCGCUGAAUCUCUCGGUGUUAUGCCGUUGAGAAGUGUAGCGUAUAGGUGUGGCUUUCAGUUUGUGCUGCAUGUCCAAAGUCCCUUUGAUAGGGGCCACUUUCCCGAGAGGGUGCGAGACCUGUGCGGACAGUGGAGCAAGCUGUAUGGUCAUAUCUUGGAGUCGGGUUGCUUGAAAGUGCAGCCUAAAGUGGGUGAUAAACUUCAUCUAAGGCUAAAUAUAUGGCGAGAAUCCGAUAGCGAAACAAGUACCUGUGAAGGGAAAGAUGAAAAGAACUUUGAAAAGAGAGUUAAACAGUACGUGAAAUUGUCAAAAGGGAAGCGUUUGACACCAGUGUUGUUUUUCUGAAAAUCAAUUAAAGAACUGUUUAUGCUAAGUUGUUUAGACUUUAUCAGCUAUCUGUUUAGUUUUGAGCUUUUCUUUAAUGCACUUUUCAGUUAACAAGUCAACAUCAAUUUCUUUUGCUGUAAAAAAGCUUGAGGAAGGUGGCUUGAGAUUCGUCUUAAGUGUUUAUAGCCUCUUGCCUAUGCAGUCGGAGAGAUUGAGGUCUGCAGCGUAGAUUCCUUCGGGGCUAAAUGCAUUUGUGCUAAGUUAUAGCAUUUUAUAGACAACUUGUUGACUAUGAUUUGUCUUGUAGCUUACUCGCUUAUGUUAUUUUACCUACGCUUAGGAUGUUGAGUAGCGACAUACGCAC
RNAcentral lists this ribosomal RNA (783 nucleotides) under uncultured Neocallimastigales. Its description in RNAcentral is "partial large subunit ribosomal RNA". It matches the Rfam family "Eukaryotic large subunit ribosomal RNA", at positions 24 to 649 of the family's 3401-position model. Lineage: Eukaryota; Fungi; Neocallimastigomycota; Neocallimastigomycetes; Neocallimastigales. The record is from RNAcentral.